This is a long non-coding RNA of Ipomoea nil (Japanese morning glory), 830 nucleotides long. RefSeq lists it as uncharacterized. The transcript has 2 exons. The record is from RefSeq and is a predicted model, not a curated record. NCBI's taxonomy places the organism in Eukaryota, Viridiplantae, Streptophyta, Magnoliopsida, Solanales, Convolvulaceae.
CUUUCUUUCUUUCUUUGGUAAUCCUGGAUUCAUGAGGCUGUGAUGAUACUGUUCUCUUUCUCUCUGAGCGGAUUUAUCGGGCAAGGGCUAUCCGACCCGUAUCUUGGCGGGGCGAACAGGCUACCCGGCUUCUUUGCAGCCAUGGCUGUGUAGGAAUAACCCUUUGCCCGGCACCAAAUCUGAGCCUUGAUCAUCGUAAGCCCAGUCGGAAUCGAAUCGGCGACAGAGAAGACCCGUAGCUUGGCGGAUUUUGCUGCCAUGGUUGCGUGGUUCAGAUCUGGGCAGUAUUGGUGGAAGUUUUGAUGGAAUACACCCCCCUAGGGCUGCGAUUAGUUCAACAAGGCUGUGAUGAUGUUUUCAAGUUCAAAUCUGAGCGUCACAGCUGCAGUAGCUAUGCUGAUGAUUGCAUGAAUCGAACCUGGGUCUCAUGGUUUAUAAAACCUGUUCUGAUGUCUUUUUUGGUUGGAUUUUCAGCUGAAAAGAAUGGAGAUUUCAGUGCUGAGAUUUUUUUAUGGCCAUGGGCCCAUGGUGUGGGGUGCUUAUCAAUUUGUUUGGCAUCUUGUGAAAUCUCUGUUGUGAGAAUGAGGCUCAAAUUCAGAGAGGCAUGGGAGUUCUUAAGGGUGGUUGCCCCUCUCUGAAACAUAGCCACUGAUUUCAUCACAAUCAGCAAAUUGCGAAACACCCCUUUUUGGUGAAUUAUACACACAAAUAUAUAAUGAGCAUAUAAUAUAAACUAUAAACAUGUUGUCUAGCUAUCAGCUUGAACUUUAGCUGAGACAAAAAAAACAUCUUCCUUCUUCAAUUAUAUACAUAUACUGAUUUGAACUAAA